Molecule: ribosomal RNA, 497 nt
Filed under: uncultured bacterium
Lineage: Bacteria
Description: partial 16S ribosomal RNA
Rfam family: Bacterial small subunit ribosomal RNA
Source: RNAcentral
GAUGAACGCUGGCGGCGUGCCUAAUACAUGCAAGUCGAGCGAACAGACGAGGAGCUUGCUCCUCUGACGUUAGCGGCGGACGGGUGAGUAACACGUGGAUAACCUACCUAUAAGACUGGGAUAACUUCGGGAAACCGGAGCUACUACCGGAUAAUAUAUUGAACCGCAUGGUUCAAUAGUGAAAGACGGUUUUGCUGUCACUUAUAGAUGGAUACGCGCCGCAUUAGCUAGUUGGUAAGGUAACGGCUUACCAAGGCAACGAUGCGUAGCCGACCUGAGAGGGUGAACGGCCACACUGGAAGUGAGACACGGUCGAGACUCCGACGGGAGGCAGCAGUAGGGAAUCUUCCGCAAUGGGCGAAAGCCUGACGGAGCAACGCCGCGUGAGUGAUGAAGGUCUUCGGAUCGUAAAACUCUGUUAGUAGGGAAGAACAAAUGUGUAAGUAACUAUGCACGUAUUGACGGUACCUAAUCAGAAAGCCACGGCUAACUCCGUG